UGGCCAUAUCACAUUGAAACACCGGUUUCCUUUAUGAUCACCAAAGUUAAGCAGCCUCGAUCCUGGCCAGUACCUAAAUGGGUGACUGCUUGGGAAUACCAGUUGCUGAA
Molecule: non-coding RNA, 110 nt
Organism: Acanthosepion pharaonis
Lineage: Eukaryota; Metazoa; Mollusca; Cephalopoda; Sepiida; Sepiidae
Source: the annotation of a GenBank genome assembly